RNAcentral lists this ribosomal RNA (654 nucleotides) under uncultured bacterium. RNAcentral's name for it is "bacterial SSU rRNA". It matches the Rfam family "Bacterial small subunit ribosomal RNA", at positions 202 to 842 of the family's 1533-position model. The record is from RNAcentral.
GAAAGAUGGCUUUGGCUAUCACUCUGGGAUGGACCUGCGGUGCAUUAGCUAGUUGGUAAGGUAACGGCUUACCAAGGCGAUGAUGCAUAGCCGAGUUGAGAGACUGAUCGGCCACAAUGGAACUGAGACACGGUCCAUACUCCUACGGGAGGCAGCAGUAGGGAAUCUUCCACAAUGGGCGCAAGCCUGAUGGAGCAACACCGCGUGAGUGAAGAAGGGUUUCGGCUCGUAAAGCUCUGUUGUUGGAGAAGAACGUGCGUGAGAGUAACUGUUCACGCAGUGACGGUAUCCAACCAGAAAGUCACGGCUAACUACGUGCCAGCAGCCGCGGUAAUACGUAGGUGGCAAGCGUUAUCCGGAUUUAUUGGGCGUAAAGCGAGCGCAGGCGGCUGCUUAGGUCUGAUGUGAAAGCCUUCGGCUUAACCGAAGAAGUGCAUCGGAAACCGGGCGACUUGAGUGCAGAAGAGGACAGUGGAACUCCAUGUGUGGCGGUGGAAUGCGUAGAUAUAUGGAAGAACACCAGUGGCGAAGGCGGCUGUCUGGUCUGCAACUGACGCUGAGGCUCGAAAGCAUGGGUAGCGAACAGGAUUAGAUACCCUGGUAGUCCAUGCCGUAAACGAUGAGUGCUAGGUGUUGGAGGGUUUCCGCCCUUCA